GGGUCAGUAGGUUGGUCGUGCCACCGGUACGUACUGGUCUCACUGAUUCCUCCUUCCUGAAGAACCGUAAUGUCAUUAAUUUGGUGUUGCGGGGAAACAGGACUGUUACUUUGAAAAAAUUAGAGUGUUUAAAGCAAGCUAACGCUUGAAUACAUUAGCAUGGAAUAAUGAAACAGGACGAUCGAUCCUAUUUUGUUGGUUUCUAGGAUUGACGUA
This 216-nucleotide ribosomal RNA is filed under the name Glomeromycotina sp. RNAcentral's name for it is "partial small subunit ribosomal RNA". The stretch from base 40 to 216 matches the Rfam family "Eukaryotic small subunit ribosomal RNA", at positions 686 to 864 of the family's 1831-position model. Lineage: Eukaryota; Fungi; Glomeromycota. The record is from RNAcentral.